GAACGAUGAGCGCUCGGGUAAUUGGAUGGGUACCCCGUUAUUUGAGAGGACGUUUGCGUGGAUCAGGGAUCCGAGGUCCCCGGAGGGAUAGUGGCACUCGGGUAGGCUUCGAUCACGCUGUACCCGAGAUUCAAGUUCCGUGACCUAUACUUUUCUCGAACGUACUGGUUAUUUCGCACGUUCUAUCGUUUGCCAAGUGCCUGCCUUGCUGCACCCGCUCUAGCACCUGUUCCGCUGGUGUGGUUGCGUCACGGAGACAGAGCGGACAUCGCAUAGCGUUGGGGGCAUCGGUUCGAGGUACGGUUCACUGGUCCCAGAUUCGGGACGCACUGGCUUUAUGGGAGCGUGGGAACUGCCCAGGCAGACGCACGGCCUGCGAGAGCGCAAGGCGACCUGCUGGGAGACCACUGCAAGCAAAACGACGCCCAGACGCAUCGCAACCGCUCCUAGUCUCAGGAUGGACUGCGUUCCGGGCGAGCUGCUGAGGUCUCGCCUCUGCACCCGGCAGUACAACGGUGCACAGAGUGCAAGCCCGGUAGACUCGUCCUGGUCGUGGGGCCUUCCGCUUAGAAGGCAAACUUUCACAACAAACGAGAGAACUUCCACCUUUCAACGCGUAACGUGAAUCUGGAAAGAAACUGUUGCCGAGUUGGUCGUUCGUUGUUCGUUUCUGGGCUUUAUCGUUGCUGCGGUUUGACGCGCAACCGGCAUGGGAUAGCUGCGAUGGUGCAGUUGCAGGUGCGGUGCACUCGCCCGACACCCUAGGCAAGUGAACGCGUAGCAUUGUGAGGAUCUCUCCGUCCAAGCCUUGAGAUUUGUUUUCGAAUAUUUGUUAGAUGUAUAUUACUGACAUUAUGAGUGCGGUGAGAAGAGCUUAUGGAUUCAUGCGUAGUUUAAGGACUCUGGAUCGUGGUUUCGGAGUGGAUGUCUCAGCUCGGUGCCGUUGGAAUGCUUCCUAGAACCGGAAUCAACAUGAUUCAUGACGGAAACGAAAAAGGGCCCCUACAUAAUCGAUAUGAGUAUCCAUUUCAUAUAGACAAGGCUUGGCGCUUCUCCUUUUGCUCGUGUGUAGCAUGCUCAAGUUACGCUGGCUUCGCACUUCCCAUUUUUCUAUGUCAGAGCGACUCGUGGGCGUAGCGAUUCGCGCUCUUGGGCUAAUAUGGAACAAAACCAGAAGGCUUCGGUGGACGGCUCGUUCCAAAGCUCAUGCCGAUCGUCUACUCAGCUCGCGACGUCAAAUAAUCGAUUUCCCUCGGAAAAACAUAUCCUUAUCUCUUGGUGGCCAUUGUUAGAAUCGAAUUCGUUACCAGCGUGAUAAUUUUCGCGGGAUGUGCGCCUAGAGGUUCCGGCCUCUUCUGUUUGUAUGGAAAAGCGUCUCGGGUUUGGUCGACAGUUAUCUGAGCGCUCGCGUCCGGGAGAGAGCGCUUCACCACUUUGCACGAAUGGGGCAAAGACGACUCGAAAGUUCUCGACUUUUCCCGGACUGUAGUUUUCUUCAGGUACUUUUUUUGAUUAUGGACAACAUCGCGUUCAAGAAAAUUUCCCACCAAAUAGGGCAACCUGCGCUUGCAGCGGAUGGCGUACUCUUCAGGCGAAUCGCUCAGAAGAAGCCCAUCAUCAUAGGAACGGCACCGGGCACGGAAUCGGAGCGCAGCAUCGAGGUGAGGCUUCUACACCUGUCAAGCGUGAGCACCGAGCAAUGAAGCGAGCGUUCACGCGUCAAAGGCCGACUCUCGGAGAACGAGGAGGUGCAAUGGACACGUGAGAACACCCGAUCGAAGUUACGUGUCGCCGCCACGAAUGGUGUACCGAGGCUUUAUACCAGGUGGAUGAUGAUUGCAAGGGAAACGUUGAUCACGGCUUCUGUCCGUGCAUGAAAUGCGUGACCAAUAGCACGAGGUAGCGAACUCGGGACUUGAACGCUUCGACUGCUGCCAACGGUACCCUAGAGAACGUAUACACCAGUGUACUGAAUGUCUUGAUAAGGGAAAGAAAGAGGAAACAGUCACAAAUAAAGCCCGCAAACCCCGGA
Molecule: RNA transcript, 2032 nt
Organism: Cyanidioschyzon merolae strain 10D
Lineage: Eukaryota; Rhodophyta; Bangiophyceae; Cyanidiales; Cyanidiaceae
Exons: 1
Source: RefSeq, a predicted model, not a curated record